This 484-nucleotide ribosomal RNA is filed under the name uncultured bacterium. RNAcentral's name for it is "partial 16S ribosomal RNA". It matches the Rfam family "Bacterial small subunit ribosomal RNA", at positions 30 to 507 of the family's 1533-position model. The record is from RNAcentral.
AUUGAACGCUGGCGGCAGGCCUAACACAUGCAAGUCGAGCGGAUGAAGGGAGCUUGCUCCUGGAUUCAGCGGCGGACGGGUGAGUAAUGCCUAGGAAUCUGCCUGGUAUUGGGGGAUAACGUCCGGAAACGGGCGCUAAUACCGCAUACGUCCUGAGGUAGAAAGUGGGGGAUCUUUGGACCUCGCGCUAUCAGAUGAGCCUAGGUCGGAUUAGCUAGUUGGUGGGGUAAAGGCCUACCAAGGCGACGAUCCGUAACUGGUCUGAGAGGAUGAUCAGUCACACUGGAACUGAGACACGGUCCAGACUCCUACGGGAGGCAGCAGUGGGGAAUAUUGGACAAUGGGCGAAAGCCUGAUCCAGCCAUGCCGCGUGUGUGAAGAAGGUCUUCGGAUUGUAAAGCACUUUAAGUUGGGAGGAAGAGCAGUAUGUGAAUACCUUGCUGUUUUGACGUUACCAACAGAAUAAGCACCGGCUAACUUCGUG